CCUACGGGCGGCAGCAGUGGGGAAUAUUGCACAAUGGGGGAAACCCUGAUGCAGCGACGCCGCGUGCGUGAAGAAGUACUUCGGUAUGUAAAGCUCUAUCAGCAGGGAAGAAAAUGACGGUACCUGAGUAAGAAGCCCCGGCUAACUACGUGCCAGCAGCCGCGGUAAUACGUAGGGGGCAAGCGUUAUCCGGAUUUACUGGGUGUAAAGGGAGCGUAGUCGGCAGUGCAAGUCUGGAGUGAAAGGCGGGGGCUCAACCCCCGGACUGCAGUGGAAACUGUACGGCUGGAGUGCAGGAGAGGUAGGUGGAAUUCCUAGUGUAGCGGUGAAAUGCGUAGAUAUGAGGAGGAACACCAGUGGCGAAGGCGGCUUACUGGACUGUAACUGACGUUGAGGCUCGAAAGCGUGGGGAGCAAACAGGAUUAGAUACCCGUGUAGUC
This 440-nucleotide ribosomal RNA is filed under the name uncultured bacterium. RNAcentral describes it as "partial 16S ribosomal RNA". It matches the Rfam family "Bacterial small subunit ribosomal RNA", at positions 338 to 795 of the family's 1533-position model. The record is from RNAcentral.